AUUGAACGCUGGCGGAAUGCUUUACACAUGCAAGUCGAACGGCAGCACGGACUACGGUCUGGUGGCGAUUGGCUAACGGGUGAGCAAUGUAUCGGAACGUGCCCAGUCGUGGGGGAUAACGUAGUGAAAAUUACGCUAAUACCGCAUACGCCCUAUGGAUGAAAGCGGGGGAUCGCAAGACCUCGUGCGAUGGGAGCGGCCGAUAUCAGAUUAGGUAAUUGGGGGGGUAAAGGCCCACCAAGCCAACGACCUGUAGCUGGUCUGAGAGGACGACCAGCCAAACUGGAACUACGACACGGUCCAGACUCCUACGGGAGGCAGCAGUGGGGAAUUUUGGACAAUGGGCGAAAGCCUGAUCCAGCCAUUCCGCGUGCAGGAUGAAGGCCCUCGGGUUGUAAACUGCUUUUGUACAGAACGAAAAGGUUUCUACUAAUACUAGGAGCUCAUGACGGUACUGUAAGAGUAAGCACCGGCUAACUACGUGCCAGCAGCCGCGGUAA
This 500-nucleotide ribosomal RNA is filed under the name uncultured bacterium. RNAcentral describes it as "partial 16S ribosomal RNA". It matches the Rfam family "Bacterial small subunit ribosomal RNA", at positions 30 to 523 of the family's 1533-position model. The record is from RNAcentral.